GCUCCUCACCCAACACCCCUCGCCAUGCUUGCACGCGCCGCUGCUCGCUCGAUUGCCGCCCUCGGAGGCUCGCCAUGCCGCGCCAUGAGCUCAAA
Molecule: non-coding RNA, 95 nt
Filed under: Proteomonas sulcata
Lineage: Eukaryota; Cryptophyceae; Pyrenomonadales; Geminigeraceae
Source: RNAcentral